Molecule: ribosomal RNA, 364 nt
Filed under: uncultured bacterium
Lineage: Bacteria
Description: bacterial SSU rRNA
Rfam family: Bacterial small subunit ribosomal RNA
Source: RNAcentral
AGCGAACGCUGGCGGCAGGCCUAACACAUGCAAGUCGAGCGGCCGUAGCAAUACGGCAGCGGCAGACGGGAGAGUAACACGUGGGAACGUACCCUUUGGUUCGGAACAACACAGGGAAACUUGUGCUAAUACCGGAUAAGCCCUUACGGGGAAAGAUUUAUCGCCAAAGGAUCGGCCCGCGUCUGAUUAGCUAGUUGGUGGGGUAACGGCCCACCAAGGCGACGAUCAGUAGCUGGUCUGAGAGGAUGAUCAGCCUCACUGGGACUGAGACACGGCCCAGACUCCUACGGGAGGCAGCAGUGGGGAAUUUUGGACAAUGGGGGCAACCCUGAUCCAGCCAUGCCGCGUGCGGGAAGAAGGCCUU